RNAcentral lists this ribosomal RNA (2902 nucleotides) under Enterobacter sp. 18A13. Its description in RNAcentral is "23S ribosomal RNA". It matches the Rfam family "Bacterial large subunit ribosomal RNA". The record is from RNAcentral. Lineage: Bacteria; Pseudomonadati; Pseudomonadota; Gammaproteobacteria; Enterobacterales; Enterobacteriaceae.
UUAAGCGACUAAGCGUACACGGUGGAUGCCCUGGCAGUCAGAGGCGAUGAAGGACGUGCUAAUCUGCGAAAAGCGCCGGCGAGGUGAUAUGAACCUUUGACCCGGCGAUGUCCGAAUGGGGAAACCCAGUGCAAUUCGUUGCACUAUCGUUAACUGAAUACAUAGGUUAACGAGGCGAACCGGGGGAACUGAAACAUCUAAGUACCCCGAGGAAAAGAAAUCAACCGAGAUUCCCCCAGUAGCGGCGAGCGAACGGGGAGCAGCCCAGAGUCUGAAUCAGCUUGUGUGUUAGUGGAAGCGUCUGGAAAGUCGCACGGUACAGGGUGACAGUCCCGUACACGAAAGCACACAGGCUGUGAACUCGAAGAGUAGGGCGGGACACGUGGUAUCCUGUCUGAAUAUGGGGGGACCAUCCUCCAAGGCUAAAUACUCCUGACUGACCGAUAGUGAACCAGUACCGUGAGGGAAAGGCGAAAAGAACCCCGGCGAGGGGAGUGAAAAAGAACCUGAAACCGUGUACGUACAAGCAGUGGGAGCACCUUCGUGGUGUGACUGCGUACCUUUUGUAUAAUGGGUCAGCGACUUAUAUUCUGUAGCAAGGUUAACCGUAUAGGGGAGCCGAAGGGAAACCGAGUCUUAACUGGGCGUUAAGUUGCAGGGUAUAGACCCGAAACCCGGUGAUCUAGCCAUGGGCAGGUUGAAGGUUGGGUAACACUAACUGGAGGACCGAACCGACUAAUGUUGAAAAAUUAGCGGAUGACUUGUGGCUGGGGGUGAAAGGCCAAUCAAACCGGGAGAUAGCUGGUUCUCCCCGAAAGCUAUUUAGGUAGCGCCUCGUGAACUCAUCUUCGGGGGUAGAGCACUGUUUCGGCUAGGGGGCCAUCCCGGCUUACCAACCCGAUGCAAACUACGAAUACCGAAGAAUGUUAUCACGGGAGACACACGGCGGGUGCUAACGUCCGUCGUGAAGAGGGAAACAACCCAGACCGCCAGCUAAGGUCCCAAAGUCAUGGUUAAGUGGGAAACGAUGUGGGAAGGCACAGACAGCCAGGAUGUUGGCUUAGAAGCAGCCAUCAUUUAAAGAAAGCGUAAUAGCUCACUGGUCGAGUCGGCCUGCGCGGAAGAUGUAACGGGGCUAAACCAUGCACCGAAGCUGCGGCAGCGACGCUUAUGCGUUGUUGGGUAGGGGAGCGUUCUGUAAGCCGUUGAAGGUGGCCUGUGAGGGUUGCUGGAGGUAUCAGAAGUGCGAAUGCUGACAUAAGUAACGAUAAAGCGGGUGAAAAGCCCGCUCGCCGGAAGACCAAGGGUUCCUGUCCAACGUUAAUCGGGGCAGGGUGAGUCGACCCCUAAGGCGAGGCCGAAAGGCGUAGUCGAUGGGAAACAGGUUAAUAUUCCUGUACUUGGUGUUACUGCGAAGGGGGGACGGAGAAGGCUAUGUUAGCCGGGCGACGGUUGUCCCGGUUUAAGCAUGUAGGCGGAGGUUCCAGGUAAAUCCGGUACCUUUUAACGCUGAGGUGUGAUGACGAGGCACUACGGUGCUGAAGUAACAAAUGCCCUGCUUCCAGGAAAAGCCUCUAAGCAUCAGGUAACAUCAAAUCGUACCCCAAACCGACACAGGUGGUCAGGUAGAGAAUACCAAGGCGCUUGAGAGAACUCGGGUGAAGGAACUAGGCAAAAUGGUGCCGUAACUUCGGGAGAAGGCACGCUGAUAUGUAGGUGAAGCCCCUGCGGGUGGAGCUGAAAUCAGUCGAAGAUACCAGCUGGCUGCAACUGUUUAUUAAAAACACAGCACUGUGCAAACACGAAAGUGGACGUAUACGGUGUGACGCCUGCCCGGUGCCGGAAGGUUAAUUGAUGGGGUUAGCGGCAACGCGAAGCUCUUGAUCGAAGCCCCGGUAAACGGCGGCCGUAACUAUAACGGUCCUAAGGUAGCGAAAUUCCUUGUCGGGUAAGUUCCGACCUGCACGAAUGGCGUAAUGAUGGCCAGGCUGUCUCCACCCGAGACUCAGUGAAAUUGAACUCGCUGUGAAGAUGCAGUGUACCCGCGGCAAGACGGAAAGACCCCGUGAACCUUUACUAUAGCUUGACACUGAACACUGGUCCUUGAUGUGUAGGAUAGGUGGGAGGCUUUGAAGCGUGGACGCCAGUCUGCGUGGAGCCGUCCUUGAAAUACCACCCUUUAAUGGCUGGUGUUCUAACGUAGACCCGUGAUCCGGGUUGCGGACAGUGUCUGGUGGGUAGUUUGACUGGGGCGGUCUCCUCCCAAAGAGUAACGGAGGAGCACGAAGGUUAGCUAAUCCUGGUCGGACAUCAGGAGGUUAGUGCAAUGGCAUAAGCUAGCUUGACUGCGAGAGUGACGGCUCGAGCAGGUGCGAAAGCAGGUCAUAGUGAUCCGGUGGUUCUGAAUGGAAGGGCCAUCGCUCAACGGAUAAAAGGUACUCCGGGGAUAACAGGCUGAUACCGCCCAAGAGUUCAUAUCGACGGCGGUGUUUGGCACCUCGAUGUCGGCUCAUCACAUCCUGGGGCUGAAGUAGGUCCCAAGGGUAUGGCUGUUCGCCAUUUAAAGUGGUACGCGAGCUGGGUUUAGAACGUCGUGAGACAGUUCGGUCCCUAUCUGCCGUGGGCGCUGGAGAAUUGAGGGGGGCUGCUCCUAGUACGAGAGGACCGGAGUGGACGCAUCACUGGUGUUCGGGUUGUCAUGCCAAUGGCACUGCCCGGUAGCUAAAUGCGGAAGAGAUAAGUGCUGAAAGCAUCUAAGCACGAAACUUGCCCCGAGAUGAGUUCUCCCUGACCCUUUAAGGGUCCUGAAGGAACGUUGAAGACGACGACGUUGAUAGGUCGGGUGUGUAAGCGCAGCGAUGCGUUGAGCUAACCGAUACUAAUGAACCGUGAGGCUUAACCU